This is a long non-coding RNA of Oncorhynchus keta (chum salmon), 1593 nucleotides long. RefSeq lists it as uncharacterized. The transcript is spliced from 3 exons. Lineage: Eukaryota; Metazoa; Chordata; Actinopteri; Salmoniformes; Salmonidae. The record is from RefSeq and is a predicted model, not a curated record.
AUACAACCCAUAUUUAUUAUGAUUUAUUUUCUCUUUUGCAUAUCGUUACAGAAACUGUAUAUAGCCAUAUUAUGACAUUUGUAAUGCCUCCCAUUCCUUUAGAAGUUUUGUGAGAGAGUGACAGAGAUAGAGAGAGUCUAGACAGAGGGAGAGGUGACAAAAAUAAAGAUUAAGAGUGAGAAAGAGACAAUAUGACAUUUGUAAUGUCUUUAUUGUUUUGAAACUGCUGUAUGUGUAAAGUUUACUGUUAAUUUGUAUUAUUUAUUUCACUUUAUAUAUUAUCUACCUCACUUGCUUUGGCAAUGUUAACACAUGUUUCCCAUGCCAAUAAAGCCCUUGAAUUGAAUUGACAGAGACAUAUAGAGGGACAGAGACAGAGAGAGGUUGUGUGUGAUUGUGUUGAGUGAGAAAGAGACAGAGACAUAUAGAGGGACAGAGACAGAGAGAGGUUGUGUGUGAUUGUGUUGAGUGAGAAAGAGACAGAGACAGAGAGAGGUUGUGUGUGAUUGUGUUGAGUGAGAAAGAGACAGAGACAUAUAGAGGGACAGAGACAGAGAGAGGUUGUGUGUGAUUGUGUUGAGUGAGAAAGAGACAGAGACAGAGAGAGGUUGUGUGUGAUUGUGUUGAGUGAGAAAGAGACAGAGACAGAGAGAGGUUGUGUGUGAUUGUGUUGAGUGAGAAAGAGACAGAGACAGAGAGAGGUUGUGUGUGAUUGUGUUGAGUGAGAAAGAGACAGAGACAGAGAGAGGUUGUGUGUGAUUGUGUUGAGUGAGAAAGAGACAGAGACAGAGAGAGGUUGUGUGUGAUUGUGUUGAGUGAGAAAGAGACAGAGACAGAGAGAGGUUGUGUGUGAUUGUGUUGAGUGAGAAAGAGACAGAGACAGAGAGAGGUUGUUUGUGAUUGUGUUGAGUGAGAAAGAGACAGAGAGAGGUUGUGUGUGAUUGUGUUGAGUGAGAAAGAGACAGAGACAGAGAGAGGUUGUGUGUGACUGUGUUGAGUGAGAAAGAGACAGAGACAGAGAGAGGUUGUUUGUGAUUGUGUUGAGUGAGAAAGAGACAGAGAGAGGUUGUGUGUGAUUGUGUGCUGAUCUGUUCUCUGAGAAUGUUGACUAUUAAUAACAUCAGAGGCGGCCAUAUUGAGCACAAUAAAGUCGGCAGCUUUAUUGUUGUCAUUCAAAUCUAAUCUCUUAUGCAAGGAGAAGAAGAAGAAUAUAGUGUAUAUUAGCUAUGUCUAUCACUCUCUCUUUCUCUCUGCAGAACAAUGUCACACAACUUUACUAGACACAUAACUUUCUCACAGGCUGCAUGAGAUUCAGUCCUUCUGUAACUCAACAGCUACUUUCUUAUCUCCCGCUCGGAUUGUUUUUGUCCUGAUAGCCUACAAUGCUCCCUUUCUCUCUGCUCUCUCCUUAGACAGGUAUAAUGGUGUCAUUCAUUCAAUAGGACUCAAUUUGCUUCUUUACUCGCAGACCAGAAGUCUCUACCUGAAUAGUAAAUAAACAAAAAUUUGACCAACUGGGGACAUUUUAUUAGUCCCCACAAGGUCAAUUGCUAUUUCUAGGGGGUUUAGGGUUAGAAUUAGUGUUAGGGUUAG